RNAcentral lists this transfer RNA (34 nucleotides) under Buteo rufinus cirtensis. Its description in RNAcentral is "partial tRNA-Glu". The record is from RNAcentral. Lineage: Eukaryota; Metazoa; Chordata; Aves; Accipitriformes; Accipitridae.
GUUUCUGUAGUUGAAGCUUACAACGGCGAUUUUU